UCCGGUGGUUCUGAAUGGAAGGGCCAUCGCUCAACGGAUAAAAGGUACUCCGGGGAUAACAGGCUGAUACCGCCCAAGAGUUCAUAUCGACGGCGGUGUUUGGCACCUCGAUGUCGGCUCAUCACAUCCUGGGGCUGAAGUAGGUCCCAAGGGUAUGGCUGUUCGCCAUUUAAAGUGGUACGCGAGCUGGGUUUAGAACGUCGUGAGACAGUUCGGUCCCUAUCUGCCGUGGGCGCUGGAGAACUGAGGGGGGCUGCUCCUAGUACGAGAGGACCGGAGUGGACGCAUCACUGGUGUUCGGGUUGUCAUGCCAAUGGCACUGCCCGGUAGCUAAAUGCGGAAGAGAUAAGUGCUGAAAGCAUCUAAGCACGAAACUUGCCCCGA
RNAcentral lists this ribosomal RNA (384 nucleotides) under Salmonella enterica. Its description in RNAcentral is "partial 23S ribosomal RNA". It matches the Rfam family "Bacterial large subunit ribosomal RNA", at positions 2419 to 2802 of the family's 2925-position model. The record is from RNAcentral. RNAcentral also lists the same sequence under 1 other name. Lineage: Bacteria; Pseudomonadati; Pseudomonadota; Gammaproteobacteria; Enterobacterales; Enterobacteriaceae.